UGGUAGGCCUAGGCUGGAACAGGUUUGCAGAAUGAACAGGCCGAGUGGAAGCAUGCUGGUGGAAAGCUGGAAAAGGGGAACCAAGGCCUGGAGCAGAGAAAUUCAGGGAUUCCUGCUGCAGGAGAUAGAGACUUUAUUGUUUGGACAAUGUCAGGCCAGCCCUGGGAAGAAGGGCCUGGAACCAGUGAACUCUUUAUUAGUUGACUGGCAAGUACUUCAAGGUAUCAGCAAGGACUUACAGAUCCCAGUUACUAUUUCCUCCACCACCCUUUUUAGAUUUGCUUCUACAUUCAGGUGCCUAUUCUGUACAGCUAAGUAUUACUGCAGUUGUUGGAACUCAGUGGUAUUGGGAAGAGGUUGCCAGCCCUGAAGUGCCUUCAGCACUUGCCUCAGGUUUUGAGUUGCACAGACAUGCAACCGACUUGCGCAAUUAUUACGCAAAGAUCCCAAGAUCUGCUCACAAGGCUGCACUUUCAUUUUUACUGCUUCACACUUAGCUACUUGUGCAGAUCUAUUCCACUCCAAACAAUCUAGUCAUUAAACCUCUUGGAACUUAAGCAUUUAAGCUUUUAAUGGGAAGCUUUUAAUGUUUGACGGACUAUUUAAUUUUAAUAUUUUGUUGGAAGCCGCCGAGGGUGGCUGGGGAAGCCCAGCCAGAUGGGCGGGGUAUAAAUAAUAAAUUAUUAUUAUUAUUAUUAAUAUGUAAGGGGUUGGUUCUGUGUAUAUAAAUUUGCAAACAAUGGGAUUGAGGUUUUUUCCUCAACUGUAUGUUUAUUUUAUAACAUUUUUCCCGUGAAGAAAAGGCAUGUUAUCUCUGCAGACACAAAUUCACACUUUUGAGAACUGCAAAAACAAGCAUCUUCUCGUAAGAAAAACUGCCCCAAAUAAUCUUACAGAAACCUCUGGAAGAGCAUGGCAUUGUGAAUGCAUUAAUGGAACUCAUUUACCAAAAAAUUUAAAUAUUGCAUAUAAAGCCUUAUGCUACAUAAUUAAAAAUAAAUCUUUAUUUCCUGAUGAAUAGCCUUUGGACUAUAAUGUAACUUAAAUAGAAAACUAUAUUUAGAAAGGUUUUACCUUCAAAAGCAUUUUAUUUUUAAAAAUGCAAUUUAAAUUUUAAAAAUCUGAUUUAGAUUUUUUAAAAAUCCGAUUUUAAAAUUGAUUUUUAUCCAUCCUGAUGGUGUGACUCUCAUACUAGAGAGGGAGAAAAUCUUUUCUCUAUUCCACUUUCUGAACAUUGACCCUCCAAUUGUCCCCAUUUUCCAGGGACAGUCCCGGAUUUACAGAAGCUGUCACGGAUUCUGAUUUGAUCCUGGAAUGUCCUGUUUUUCCUUAGGAUCGGUGAAAUGUUGGAAGGUAUAGUAGGAUGUCCCUAUUUUCACUGGAGGGUAUGAAAUUAAGUGACACCCCACCCCCGAGUCAAGGAGAUAAGUAGCUAUACAACUUUAAUAAAAUAUCUGAAGGCAGCCUUAUAUAGGGAAGUUUUAAAAAAUGUUUUAUUAUGUUUUUAUAUAUGUUGGAAGCUGUCUAGACAACCCACUCAGAAGGGUGGGAUAUUAUUAUUAUUAUUAUUAUUGAAUAGGACAUCCUAUUUUCAUAGGAGAAACAUUGGAGGGCCGUGACACACUUCGAAUGUGAGACAGGACUAAGACCCAUUGCCCCCCCCCCACUUCCCUCAGGAGGCCCAAUCGUUUAUGGGCUCCAGGUGACUGACAGGGCCAACAGGCCAGUGGGUACAAAAGGAAACAGGAAGCCUCAACAUCCGGCUUAUUCAAAGCUACAGGGAGGCGGUGCUCUGUAGCUUGAGUGGCAGUGGGGCAUCUUGAGUGGCAGCGAGUGGAGGAGGUGCUUACAUGGAUUUUGACCUAUUGGAGAAUGGCAGGGGUGGGGGGGGGACCAAUCAGGGAGGUGCGUUUGCUCAACCUCAAGCUCCACCCUCCGUUGGAGAAAUGGAGGCAGAUACAUCAUGGGGCCGAUUUGCUCUAGUUUCCACCAAAGUCACCUUGGGAGCUCUGCUUAACAUCCAGAAAUAAAGACAAUUGGGGGUUCUUUUCAAGGUGCAAACAGAACAGGGGGCACUUUGCCCCCCUAAGAAUCAAAUGCUACCUGGAAAGCUGUAUUUGGGCCCUGGAGUUGAGAUUCCCAGGUCCUGCAAUAAAAUUAGGAAGCAGGACAAUGAAUAAGGAGAUUAUCAUGAUCUUGGAGAAUGCUAGGAGGGGAUCUAACCUUUCUUCAGGUCCUUCCUUGCUUCUCCUGUUGCAGUUUUGCAUCAGUUUCCCAGCCACCUGAUGCUCGUACAGUGGUACCUCUGAUUACGUACUUAAUUUGUUCCAGAGGUCCGUUCUUAACCUGAAACAGUUCUUAACCUGAAGCACCACUUUAGCUAAUGGGGUCUCCUGCUGCUGCUGCGCUGCUGGAGCACGAUUUCUGUUCUCAUCCCGAAGCAAAGUUCUUAACCCGAGGUACUAUUUCUGGGUUAGCGGAGUCUGUAACCUGAAGUGUAUUUAACCCGAGGUACCACUAUAUUGAAAUGCGGGUGGCGCUGUGGGUUAAACCACAGAGCCUAGGACUCGCCGAUCAGAAGGUCGGUGGUUCGAAUCCCCACGACGGGGUGAGCUCCCGUUGCUCGGUCCCUGUUCCUGCCAACCUAGCAGUUCGAAAGCACGUCAAAGUGCAAGUAGAUAAAUAGGUACCUCUCCGGCGGGAAGGUAAACGGCGUUUCCGUGCGCUGCUCUGGUUCGCCAGAAGCGGCUUAGUCAUGCUGGCCACAUGACCCGGAAACUGUACACCGGUUCCCUCAGCCAGUAAAGCGAGAUGAACGCCGCAACCCCAGAGUUGGCCACAACUGGACCUAAUGGUCAGGGGUCCCUUUACCUUUACCACUAUAUUUGAGAAAACAAAAGAGUGGGCAGCCUUACCCUGCACCUCCCAGAAGCCCCAAGCAAUAUCUGUUUACUCUUUGCUUCCAGGAUCCCGGAGGGCCCCGAUUCCUCUCUUCGUUUUCUCGGUUCUGCAGUCUCAGAUGCGGAGAAGCUUUUCCCUGAAUUCACAGCCUGAGCUAUUGCCGGUUUCAGAAAACUGCAAUAGGUGAACAGUAUAUGAGAUGCAUUUUGGAGACAUGCACCCAGGCUUCCAUGAGGAAUGAUGAAGCCCCAGCCUAGUCUGAAGGCGAACCACCUCCUGCCCAGGUAACCAUGGUGAGUGAGGAGAUGCAUGAGGUGUCCAGCGGGAGGGUGGGCAGGGGAUGGGAUUUGGGGGGUGUUAUGUGGAAGGAAGGCUUGUGGGUCUGGCCAAGAGGAUGGCAGGCAUUUAAAAUGAAAUUAGAGAGAGAGAGAGAGAGAGAGAGAAUAUAAUAUAAAUAAUAAAUUUAUUGUUACGCUUUUAGUGGACAUCUGAAGGCAGCUUUGUUCAGCAAGGUUUUUAAUGGUUGAUGUUUUAUAAUUGUAAAAAUAUUUUGUGGGGAGCCGCCACCCAGAGUGACUUGGGCAACCCAGUCAGAUAGGUUGGGGAUAAUUCAGGCUGAAAUUCCCAGCUGUCAGAAAAGGUUAUUUUUGUGUGCCACUACUGCGGCCCGUGUUUUGUUAGCCCCAAAAUGGAAAAUGUGUGAGGUCCCAGCCAAAGAAGAAUGGCAACUUAAGUUGACAGAAUAUGCGCAGCUUGCAGACUUAACAUAUAGAGCAAGAAGAACAUACAUUUAGAGAAGAUUGGAAAAUGUUUAUUGAAUAUAUGGGAAAUAACUACGCACAGCUGAAAACGCUGACAGCAUUAAGAUAAAUUCAACAGUGUAGAUAAGUUAUAAUGGAUGUAAUAACGGAAUACUGACUGGUAUAGUUUCUGUAAAAUAUGCAGGGAUUUAUGAUACGCAAAAUGAACCAUGGAAAGAGAAGAAUGGAAGUCACUGGGGUGUAAAAACGAGUAUACUACUUUAAAUUGUAAAACAGAAAAUUUAAUAAAAAUUAUAUAUACAAGGUGGGUUGCAUAUAAAUAAUUAAAUCAUUAUGUUAGAAAAUAUUAUUAUUAAAUUGCCAAUUCCAGUUGAUAUUAUUAUUAUUAUUAUUAUUAUUAUUAUUAUUUUAUACCCCACCCAUCUGGCUGGGUUUCCCCAGCCACUCUGGGCGGCUUUCAACAAAAUAUUAAAAUACAGUAAUGCAUCAAACAUUAAAAGCUUCCCUAAAUUGAAGCCUGGGCCUGGAAUUUGGGACUGGAACAGUCCUCCUGGUGUCCGCAGGGAACUUAACUUUUCUCUUUUGCUCUCAGGGCCCUCUCAGGACAUUAACUUUUCUCUUUUGCUCUUAGGUCUCUCUCCGGACAUUAUAGGAAAUUGGGCCGUUUUUGAAGAGCAUAAGAGCAUGGUAACAGUGGCACUUGGAAGCCAUCUUCAGGCUGCAGGAGACUGGUUUUUCUGCUUGCAUGGAAACGGUCUUCACAAAUCACCUGUCAGUCUUAUGCUUAGGGGUCUUUUCUCUGUGACGCCCUGAUCACUAGGAACUUGUCCCUGGUGUCAGAAGUGUGUUGAUGGCAUCAGGGGUUGCUUCACCUAAGGAGAGCCUUGCAGAGAGAAACUUACCACCUGGCACCCACCAUACACUCCUUGGGCCCGGCCCCUCUUGGCAGGCAAGCUGAGCGUCAUCAUACCACUUUUCUGGUGACAGACAAAGCCACUUCUGCCUAAGGAGGUGGUGGAGUUGUGGGCUUCACGACCUUUCCACGUGCACGGCGGGCGGAGCCAGCACUGUGUGAUUGAGGGGAUUCCCUGCUGCGUCAUCCCCUGGCGGGCCAAUCAGCUGGCUCGGGGGCGUGGCCUGCCCUAUUUAAGGCAGGACGCGGCCGGGGAUCUCCCUCUUUGCCGCCCACCAGUGAGCCCCCGGAUUCUGAGCUGCUGCUUCCUCCCACAGGACCUGAGCGGUUACACAAGCAGCAAAAUCAGGGAAGAAAUUGUUCAGGAAGUUGGAAACCCCUGUAGGCUGCAGGCACAAUAUGGGCAACCCAAAGGCAGACAUUUUGCCUUUAUUUAUUUGGAAUCCUUGCAUCUCACUUUAUAGCUCCGAGAGGCUAUAAACUGGCUUACGAAAGAUACUCCCAGUAGUAUCAGGAACACAAAUAAUGAUAGUGCCAGGAUUAUUCCGGUGGCGUUUCGUGCCAUCUUUCUUGGUGUUGUUCUUCAACCUCAGCCUACUAGGCCUCGGGGCCUAUUGAGGACAGCGGUGGAGCUAACCUCUUGGGCACCUGGAGUGGCACACAUGCUGAUUGGGGUCUGAUCGGCGCAGUGGUGAUCCACCCGGGAGGAUUUUGUCACCCCCUUUUGGAUGACACCCGGGGUAGGCCACCCCCCCCCUCCUACACACCUGGGGGUGGGUGGGUAAGGGAUUGGGGCCAAGCAGAUGGAUCUCAUUCAGACUAUGAAAGAGAGAAGUCUUUCUUCACGUCCUUACUAUGGCUUGGUUAUGUGUCAGUGUUUCCUUACACCCACUAUUUGGGGAGGCAUUAUUUGCAAAAGCUUGCCCUGGAAGACCUUUGCAAUGACACUUGAAGCCCUCUUCAAACUGAGGUAUAUUGUUUUUAUGCAUAUCUUUUUAAUGUUAUAAAGAAAAUUUGUUCCAA
Podarcis lilfordi (Lilford's wall lizard) is the source of this 5598-nucleotide non-coding RNA. The record is from the annotation of a GenBank genome assembly. Lineage: Eukaryota; Metazoa; Chordata; Lepidosauria; Squamata; Lacertidae.